GGGUUGUGAGGUUAAGCGACUAAGCGUACACGGUGGAUGCCCUGGCAGUCAGAGGCGAUGAAGAUAGGUUAAUGAGGCGAACCGGGGGAACUGAAACAUCUAAGUACCCCGAGGAAAAGAAAUCAACCGAGAUUCCCCCAGUAGCGGCGAGCGAACGGGGAGCAGCCCAGAGCCUGAAUCAGUGUGUGUGUUAGUGGAAGCGUCUGGAAAGGCGCGCGAUACAGGGUGACAGCCCCGUACACAAAAAUGCACAUGCUGUGAGCUCGAUGAGUAGGGCGGGACACGUGGUAUCCUGUCUGAAUAUGGGGGGACCAUCCUCCAAGGCUAAAUACUCCUGACUGACCGAUAGUGAACCAGUACCGUGAGGGAAAGGCGAAAAGAACCCCGGCGAGGGGAGUGAAAAAGAACCUGAAACCGUGUACGUACAAGCAGUGGGAGCACGCUUAGGCGUGUGACUGCGUACCUUUUGUAUAAUGGGUCAGCGACUUAUAUUCUGUAGCAAGGUUAACCGAAUAGGGGAGCCRAAGGGAAACCGAGUCUUAACUGGGCGUUAAGUUGCAGGGUAUAGACCCGAAACCCGGUGAUCUAGCCAUGGGCAGGUUGAAGGUUGGGUAACACUAACUGGAGGACCGAACCGACUAAUGUUGAAAAAUUAGCGGAUGACUUGUGGCUGGGGGUGAAAGGCCAAUCAAACCGGGAGAUAGCUGGUUCUCCCCGAAAGCUAUUUAGGUAGCGCCUCGUGAAUUCAUCUCCGGGGGUAGAGCACUGUUUCGGCAAGGGGGUCAUCCCGACUUACCAACCCGAUGCAAACUGCGAAUACCGGAGAAUGUUAUCACGGGAGACACACGGCGGGUGCUAACGUCCGUCGUGAAGAGGGAAACAACCCAGACCGCCAGCUAAGGUCCCAAAGUCAUGGUUAAGUGGGAAACGAUGUGGGAAGGCCCAGACAGCCAGGAUGUUGGCUUAGAAGCAGCCAUCAUUUAAAGAAAGCGUAAUAGCUCACUGGUCGAGUCGGCCUGCGCGGAAGAUGUAACGGGGCUAAACCAUGCACCGAAGCUGCGGCAGCGACGCUUAUGCGUUGUUGGGUAGGGGAGCGUUCUGUAAGCCUGYGAAGGUGURCUGUGAGGYAUGCUGGAGGUAUCAGAAGUGCGAAUGCUGACAUAAGUAACGAUAAAGCGGGUGAAAAGCCCGCUCGCCGGAAGACCAAGGGUUCCUGUCCAACGUUAAUCGGGGCAGGGUGAGUCGACCCCUAAGGCGAGGCCGAAAGGCGUAGUCGAUGGGAAACAGGUUAAUAUUCCUGUACUUGGUGUUACUGCGAAGGGGGGACGGAGAAGGCUAUGUUGGCCGGGCGACGGUUGUCCCGGUUUAAGCGUGUAGGCUGGUUUUCCAGGCAAAUCCGGAAAAUCAAGGCUGAGGCGUGAUGACGAGGCACUACGGUGCUGAAGCAACAAAUGCCCUGCUUCCAGGAAAAGCCUCUAAGCAUCAGGUAACAUCAAAUCGUACCCCAAACCGACACAGGUGGUCAGGUAGAGAAUACCAAGGCGCUUGAGAGAACUCGGGUGAAGGAACUAGGCAAAAUGGUGCCGUAACUUCGGGAGAAGGCACGCUGAUAUGUAGGUGAAGUCCCUCGCGGAUGGAGCUGAAAUCAGUCGAAGAUACCAGCUGGCUGCAACUGUUUAUUAAAAACACAGCACUGUGCAAACACGAAAGUGGACGUAUACGGUGUGACGCCUGCCCGGUGCCGGAAGGUUAAUUGAUGGGGUYAGCGCAAGCGAAGCUCUUGAUCGAAGCCCCGGUAAACGGCGGCCGUAACUAUAACGGUCCUAAGGUAGCGAAAUUCCUUGUCGGGUAAGUUCCGACCUGCACGAAUGGCGUAAUGAUGGCCAGGCUGUCUCCACCCGAGACUCAGUGAAAUUGAACUCGCUGUGAAGAUGCAGUGUACCCGCGGCAAGACGGAAAGACCCCGUGAACCUUUACUAUAGCUUGACACUGAACAUUGAGCCUUGAUGUGUAGGAUAGGUGGGAGGCUUUGAAGUGUGGACGCCAGUCUGCAUGGAGCCGACCUUGAAAUACCACCCUUUAAUGUUUGAUGUUCUAACGUKGACCCGUAAUCCGGGUUGCGGACAGUGUCUGGUGGGUAGUUUGACUGGGGCGGUCUCCUCCUAAAGAGUAACGGAGGAGCACGAAGGUUGGCUAAUCCUGGUCGGACAUCAGGAGGUUAGUGCAAUGGCAUAAGCCAGCUUGACUGCGAGCGUGACGGCGCGAGCAGGUGCGAAAGCAGGUCAUAGUGAUCCGGUGGUUCUGAAUGGAAGGGCCAUCGCUCAACGGAUAAAAGGUACUCCGGGGAUAACAGGCUGAUACCGCCCAAGAGUUCAUAUCGACGGCGGUGUUUGGCACCUCGAUGUCGGCUCAUCACAUCCUGGGGCUGAAGUAGGUCCCAAGGGUAUGGCUGUUCGCCAUUUAAAGUGGUACGCGAGCUGGGUUUAGAACGUCGUGAGACAGUUCGGUCCCUAUCUGCCGUGGGCGCUGGAGAACUGAGGGGGGCUGCUCCUAGUACGAGAGGACCGGAGUGGACGCAUCACUGGUGUUCGGGUUGUCAUGCCAAUGGCACUGCCCGGUAGCUAAAUGCGGAAGAGAUAAGUGCUGAAAGCAUCUAAGCACGAAACUUGCCCCGAGAUGAGUUCUCCCUGACYCCUURAGRGUCCUGAAGGAACGUUGAAGACGACGACGUUGAUAGGCCGGGUGUGUAAGCGCAGCGAUGCGUUGAGCUAACCGGUACUAAUGAACCGUGAGGCUUAACCUUACAACGCCGAAGMUGUU
Molecule: ribosomal RNA, 2820 nt
Filed under: Escherichia coli
Lineage: Bacteria; Pseudomonadati; Pseudomonadota; Gammaproteobacteria; Enterobacterales; Enterobacteriaceae
Description: bacterial LSU rRNA
Rfam family: Bacterial large subunit ribosomal RNA
Source: RNAcentral